GUGUCAGCAGCCGCGGUAAAACGUAGGAGCCAAGCGUUAUCCGAAUUCACUGGGCGUAAAGCGCGUGCAGGCGGCCUGAUAAGUUGGAUGUGAAAUCUCCUGGCUCAACUGGGAGAGGCCGUUCAAGACUGUCGGGCUCGAGGGCGACAGAGGGAGGUGGAAUUCCGGGUGUAGUGGUGAAAUGCGUAGAUAUCCGGAGGAACACCAGAGGCGAAGGCGACCUCCUGGGUCGUACCUGACGCUGAGAUGCGAAAGCUAGGGGAGCAAACGGGAUUAGAAACCCGGGUAGUCC
Molecule: ribosomal RNA, 292 nt
Filed under: uncultured bacterium
Lineage: Bacteria
Description: partial 16S ribosomal RNA
Rfam family: Bacterial small subunit ribosomal RNA
Source: RNAcentral